UUAAUGAUACUUCUCUACGGAGGCGGCGGAGGACCCGGCGCGGGUGAGAUUCCCAUGG
The sequence is a regulatory RNA element, 58 nucleotides long. It matches the Rfam family "pemK RNA". The record is from Rfam.